AUGUGUCUGCCUCCUGCUGAGCUUGGGUGAAGAUUCGAGCUGAAGCUGACGGACCUUCUUCACGGAAACCUGAGGAAUGAGGGGCUGACCCUCUUCCUCUGCCUCGACCACUAACCUGAAACACGGCUGGAGCUACUGGCUGAGCUGCUCUACCUGAAGCUGCUUGUUGGGACGGAGCCAACCUGGGUGCAGUGGGACACUCACGUGCUAUGUGCCCCUCCUGUCCGCACCUGUAACAUAGAUUAGUCCCAUAACGGCAGACUCCCUUG
Molecule: long non-coding RNA, 269 nt
Filed under: Manihot esculenta (cassava)
Lineage: Eukaryota; Viridiplantae; Streptophyta; Magnoliopsida; Malpighiales; Euphorbiaceae
Description: long non-coding RNA (MESC_LNC012926)
Source: RNAcentral